AUAAAGACAGAAGGGUCCCAACUGGUCCUGACUAUCCAAGGAAUGUGUCUGAAUUGUGAUUCUCUGCAAGAAGUCUAAUCACCAUGGAGCCAGUCAAGCUGCUUCAGCCAUGAAAAACAACAAUAACAAUCAGGAGAAACUAAAAGACAGAAGUUAUCAUAAGCAAAUUGCACUGAAUAAACAAAGAAAACAUCAGCUUUACUUAGAAUAUGUAAUCUGAUGCCAAUGCUUGUCUUGUCUCUACCACGAGGUCUUCUAAAUACUUCUUUUCAGGUCUUCUAAGUACUUCCACAAAGGCGGAAUUUCUUUCUGAGGAAGACCUAUCGUUACAAUCCUAUCUAAAAAAAGUUCUCUUCUGUCCUCUACCCAAUCUUCUAAAAGCAAACUUUAACUUCUUCUACCAGUUCUAUGA
Non-coding RNA from Taeniopygia guttata (zebra finch), 412 nucleotides. Lineage: Eukaryota; Metazoa; Chordata; Aves; Passeriformes; Estrildidae. The record is from RefSeq and is a predicted model, not a curated record.